Molecule: ribosomal RNA, 429 nt
Filed under: Chloroflexota bacterium
Lineage: Bacteria; Bacillati; Chloroflexota
Description: Chloroflexi bacterium partial 16S ribosomal RNA
Rfam family: Bacterial small subunit ribosomal RNA
Source: RNAcentral
UGGGGAAUAUUGCACAAUGGGCGCAAGCCUGAUGCAGCCAUGCCGCGUGUGUGAAGAAGGCCUUCGGGUUGUAAAGCACUUUCAGCGGGGAGGAAGGCGUUAAGGUUAAUAACCUUGGCGAUUGACGUUACCCGCAGAAGAAGCACCGGCUAACUCCGUGCCAGCAGCCGCGGUAAUACGGAGGGUGCAAGCGUUAAUAGGAAUUACUGGGCGUAAAGCGCACGCAGGCGGUCUGUCAAGUCGGAUGUGAAAUCCCCGGGCUCAACCUGGGAACUGCAUUCGAAACUGGCAGGCUAGAGUCUUGUAGAGGGGGGUGGAAUUCCAGGUGUAGCGGUGAAAUGCGUAGAGAUCUGGAGGAAUACCGGUGGCGAAGGCGGCCCCCUGGACAAAGACUGACGCUCAGGUGCGAAAGCGUGGGGAGCAAACAGG